GACGAACGCUGGCGGCGUGCCUAAUACAUGCAAGUAGAACGCACAGUUUAUACCGUAGCUUGCUACACCAUAGACUGUGAGUUGCGAACGGGUGAGUAACGCGUAGGUAACCUGCCUGGUAGCGGGGGAUAACUAUUGGAAACGAUAGCUAAUACCGCAUAAUAUUAAUUAUUGCAUGAUAAUUAAUUGAAAGGUGCAAUUGCACCACUACCAGAUGGACCUGCGUUGUACUAGCUAGUAGGUGAGGUAACGGCUCACCUAGGCGACGAUACAUAGCCGACCUGAGAGGGUGAUCGGCCACACUGGGACUGAGACACGGCCCAGACUCCUACGGGAGGCAGCAGUAGGGAAUCUUCGGCAAUGGACGAAAGUCUGACCGAGCAACGCCGCGUGAGUGAAGAAGGUUUUCGGAUCGUAAAGCUCUGUUGUAAGAGAAGAACGGGUGUGAGAGUGGAAAGUUCACACUGUGACGGUAUCUGACCAGAAAGGGACGGCUAACUACGUG
RNAcentral lists this ribosomal RNA (505 nucleotides) under uncultured bacterium. RNAcentral's name for it is "partial 16S ribosomal RNA". It matches the Rfam family "Bacterial small subunit ribosomal RNA", at positions 28 to 507 of the family's 1533-position model. The record is from RNAcentral.